RNAcentral lists this long non-coding RNA (272 nucleotides) under Jatropha curcas. RNAcentral describes it as "long non-coding RNA (JCUR_LNC000545)". The record is from RNAcentral. Lineage: Eukaryota; Viridiplantae; Streptophyta; Magnoliopsida; Malpighiales; Euphorbiaceae.
UACAAUCUGUUGUUUGGAGUUGAGGGCGACAUUUAAUACUUAUUUCCUUGAAAAUAAUUUUGAUGCUUGCAGAUCAAUUAUUAAGUAUGCUAAUUGUUGAGAAAAUUUUGGUCUGAAACAUUUACUGUACAUAUGCAUAUUCCAUGAUUUUCAUGUAUAUAAACAGAAUUGAGUAUCUGCAAUCAAGCUUGAAAAUUUGUAAAUGGGCUUACAUCAAGUAGUUGUCUUUUUAGUGUGCUUUUGCAUGAAAUUAUCCUCUUUUUCCUUUUUUU